This 192-nucleotide ribosomal RNA is filed under the name uncultured Hydrogenophaga sp. RNAcentral describes it as "partial 16S ribosomal RNA". It matches the Rfam family "Bacterial small subunit ribosomal RNA", at positions 1191 to 1382 of the family's 1533-position model. The record is from RNAcentral. Lineage: Bacteria; Pseudomonadati; Pseudomonadota; Betaproteobacteria; Burkholderiales; Comamonadaceae.
CUCCAUGGCCCUUAUAGGUGGGGCUACACACGUCAUACAAUGGCCGGUACAAAGGGCAGCAAACCCGCGAGGGGGAGCCAAUCCAUCAAAGCCGGUCGUAGUCCGGAUCGCAGUCUGCAACUCGACUGCGUGAAGUCGGAAUCGCUAGUAAUCGUGGAUCAGCAUGUCACGGUGAAUACGUUCCCGGGUCUU